UGCUGAUAGGAGGAAACAGAAGUUUCCUAAGAGUAUACUUACCUGACACCAUAGUUUAUUUUUAUAAAAUCAAUAAAUAAAAAUGAUUAAAAGAAAAAUAGAUCUUUGAUCUCCUAUCCUCCAAGCACCAAGCCUGGAGGAAAUAACCCUUCAAUUCAACAAAUACAAUAAAUCCCCCCUCCCCCCCCCCACCCCCCCUUUCAUUUUUCUUUUUUCUUUUUUUCAUCCUUAUCUGUUGUGGAAACCAUUCUGGUCAGCGUAUAGAACUUCUAUCAAUCAUAAACAAAGCAUGGGGGCUGCGGAAUUCUGUCAGAAUUCCCCAUUACAAACACAUAUUUCCCAGGGGAACUCAAAGUAUAACAAAGUAAUUAAAGGGGAAGACGCAGCUGUAGCAGAACACAAGAUCUCCAGUGUAACUACUGAGUGAUAUUUGGUCACUCAACAGUGUGAUAAAGGAAAGAAGAGAGGAUGAGCAAUCAUGGCAACCACGGUCCUUUUGUAUAUCAGUCCAGACCUGAAAGGAAGAAGCAGUGAAGCAAUUUUGAUCCCAGUCCUAUGACCCAGCUUGUACAACCAUUCUGUAGAUAAAGACCCCUACGAAGACAGAUGGGCUGGGUUUGCUGUUCAGGUUAUAGAGUCCAGACACCUGAUCCAGAGCAUAAGUAUCUGAGCCAAGGCUACUGCUGCAGACCUGAACCCAACCUCAGUUCAAGCUGUGCACCCUGUUUCCAGAGAGAGCUGAAAAGGAUUUAUCUCAGGUGCCCUAUCAGUCUGGUCUGUCUUUUUAUAAAAACAGCGUAAGACUUGAAGUCUGAAUACAUCUCUCACAGAUGGAGUUCAAAUCUGUCACUUUUCUUUUACAGGUAGGUGCGAAAGGCUAAAUACCAAGCUGAAUUAGUGUGGGCAGGCUGGGGAGAAUGGGGAGGAGGUGUCACCACUCCUGCUGUGGUGGUAAGGUUGUGCAGAAGGAAAUAAAAAUUUCUGAUGCUAGGAAGGAUGCUGACA
Molecule: long non-coding RNA, 1005 nt
Filed under: Anas platyrhynchos platyrhynchos (common mallard)
Lineage: Eukaryota; Metazoa; Chordata; Aves; Anseriformes; Anatidae
Description: lncRNA (ENSAPLG00000025373.1)
Source: RNAcentral